Camellia sinensis is the source of this 234-nucleotide non-coding RNA. Lineage: Eukaryota; Viridiplantae; Streptophyta; Magnoliopsida; Ericales; Theaceae. The record is from RefSeq and is a predicted model, not a curated record.
AAUCAACACCUGGACUUCAUGCAUCCAUUAAAUCAGUUCGAUCAUCUACGCUGCACCCAUUUACAUCAGAAUCGGUACAUGAAGUUACGUCACAAGUUUCACACUCGGAUACUUCUAGCACACAUUCCAGCACUGAUGUAGGCACAUCCAAGGGUGUUUUGUGGUUUUUCAAAAAUGUGGAGGGAUGCUGGAACUCCUGCUGAUUCUUUCUGAGGUUCGGCCCGAAUGCACCGA